CAGUCGAGCGGAAACGAGUUAUCUGAACCUUCGGGGGACGAUAACGGCGUCGAGCGGCGGACGGGUGAGUAAUGCCUAGGAAAUUGCCCUGAUGUGGGGGAUAACCAUUGGAAACGAUGGCUAAUACCGCAUGAUGCCUACGGGCCAAAGAGGGGGACCUUCGGGCCUCUCGCGUCAGGAUAUGCCUAGGUGGGAUUAGCUAGUUGGUGAGGUAAGGGCUCACCAAGGCGACGAUCCCUAGCUGGUCUGAGAGGAUGAUCAGCCACACUGGAACUGAGACACGGUCCAGACUCCUACGGGAGGCAGCAGUGGGGAAUAUUGCACAAUGGGCGCAAGCCUGAUGCAGCCAUGCCGCGUGUGUGAAGAAGGCCUUCGGGUUGUAAAGCACUUUCAGUCGUGAGGAAGGUGGUGUAGUUAAUAGCUGCAUCAUUUGACGUUAGCGACAGAAGAAGCACCGGCUAACUCCGUGCCAGCA
Molecule: ribosomal RNA, 475 nt
Filed under: bacterium 1611-S1-05-2.2
Lineage: Bacteria
Description: bacterial SSU rRNA
Rfam family: Bacterial small subunit ribosomal RNA
Source: RNAcentral